This 448-nucleotide ribosomal RNA is filed under the name uncultured bacterium. RNAcentral's name for it is "SSU rRNA". It matches the Rfam family "Bacterial small subunit ribosomal RNA", at positions 26 to 518 of the family's 1533-position model. The record is from RNAcentral.
AGAACGAACGCUGGCGGCAGGCUUAACACAUGCAAGUCGAACGCGUGUAGCAAUACACGAGUGGCGCACGGGUGAGUAACGCGUGGAUAUCUGCCUUUUGGUUCGGAAUAACCCCGGGAAACUGGGGCUAAUACCGGAUGGUUCCUUCGGGAUAAAGAUUUAUCGCCAAAAAGAUGAGUCCGCGUACGAUUAGCUAGUUGGUGAGGUAAUGGCUCACCAAGGCGACGAUCGUUAGCUGGUCUGAGAGGACGAUCAGCCACACUGGGACUGAGACACGGCCCAGACUCCUACGGGAGGCAGCAGUGGGGAAUAUUGGACAAUGGGGGCAACCCUGAUCCAGCCAUGCCGCGUGAGUGAUGAAGGCCUUCGGGUUGUAAAGCUCUUUUGGCGGGACGAUGAUGACGGUACCCGCAGAAUAAGCCCCGGCUAACUUCGCGCCAGCAGCCGC